This 153-nucleotide ribosomal RNA is filed under the name Hirsutella thompsonii. Its description in RNAcentral is "5.8S ribosomal RNA". It matches the Rfam family "5.8S ribosomal RNA". From Rfam's summary of the family: 5.8S ribosomal RNA (5.8S rRNA) is a component of the large subunit of the eukaryotic ribosome. The record is from RNAcentral. RNAcentral also lists the same sequence under 1 other name. Lineage: Eukaryota; Fungi; Ascomycota; Sordariomycetes; Hypocreales; Ophiocordycipitaceae.
CAAAACUUUCAACAACGGAUCUCUUGGUUCUGGCAUCGAUGAAGAACGCAGCGAAAUGCGAUAAGUAAUGUGAAUUGCAGAAUUCAGUGAAUCAUCGAAUCUUUGAACGCACAUUGCGCCCGCCAGUAUUCUGGCGGGCAUGCCUGUUCGAGC